RNAcentral lists this ribosomal RNA (794 nucleotides) under uncultured bacterium. Its description in RNAcentral is "bacterial SSU rRNA". It matches the Rfam family "Bacterial small subunit ribosomal RNA", at positions 28 to 798 of the family's 1533-position model. The record is from RNAcentral.
AAUGAACGCUGGCGGCGUGCUUAACACAUGCAAGUCGGACGAGAAAGGCUGAUUUCGGUUGGCCGAGUAAAGUGGCGCACGGGUGAGUAACGCGUAGGCAACCUACCCUUGUAUUGGGGAUAACCCUGCGAAAGUGGGGCUAAUACCGGAUGAGACCCUAUUCUGGAGGGGAUAGGGUGAAAGUCGGCCGCUCGGAGAAGCUGACGUACGAGGAUGGGCCUGCGUCCUAUCAGCUGGUUGGUGGGGUAGCGGCCUACCAAGGCGACGACGGGUAGCUGGUCUGAGAGGAUGAUCAGCCACACUGGCACUGGAACACGGGCCAGACUCCUACGGGAGGCAGCAGUGGGGAAUUUUGCGCAAUGGCCGCAAGGCUGACGCAGCAACGCCGCGUGGGUGAUGAAGGCCUUCGGGUCGUAAAGCCCUGUCAGGUGGGAAGAAAGGCCUUAAGGAGAAAGACUUGAGGUUUGACGGUACCACCAGAGGAAGCACCGGCUAACUCCGUGCCAGCAGCCGCGGUAAUACGGAGGGUGCGAGCGUUAUUCGGAAUUACUGGGCGUAAAGCGCGUGUAGGCGGGGGGACAAGUCUGAUGUGAAAGCCCUGGGCUUAACCUGGGAAGCGCAUUGGAAACUGUUUUUCUUGAGUACUGGAGAGGAAGGGGGAAUUCCCGGUGUAGAGGUGAAAUUCGUAGAGAUCGGGAGGAAUACCAGUGGCGUAGGCGCCCUUCUGGACGGUAACUGACGCUGAGACGCGAAAGCGUGGGGAGCAAACAGGAUUAGAUACCCUGGUAGUCCAC